AUGCACUUACCUCUCCUCAUCAGGGAAAAUCAACCACCUCUGCUCGCGGGUCGCCGGCACGGAUGGGAGCCGUGUAGCACCACGCUGGUAGACGUUGCCCCCCUCCUCCCCCUCCUCAUCAGUCGGCUCCCCGCCAUCAUCAGCAUGGCCACUCGGCUCCCCGCCAUCCUCAGGCUGACCCGACCAGGUACCCCAUCCAGACGUGUGCUCUUCCGGGGUCUCAUGGGCCGAAGGCCCGUCGACCCGAGGCUCGUGGGCCGAAGACCCGUGGACCGGAGUCCGUGCAGCCUCCUCCUCAGCCGAGUCCACCCUAGCAGUCACGUGCUCGGGUGA
Molecule: ribosomal RNA, 333 nt
Filed under: Triticum aestivum (bread wheat)
Lineage: Eukaryota; Viridiplantae; Streptophyta; Magnoliopsida; Poales; Poaceae
Description: partial small subunit ribosomal RNA
Source: RNAcentral